This 895-nucleotide ribosomal RNA is filed under the name uncultured bacterium. RNAcentral describes it as "bacterial SSU rRNA". It matches the Rfam family "Bacterial small subunit ribosomal RNA", at positions 14 to 899 of the family's 1533-position model. The record is from RNAcentral.
UGAUCCUGGCUCAGGAUGAACGCUAGCUACAGGCUUAACACAUGCAAGUCGAGGGGAAACGACAUCGAAAGCUUGCUUUUGAUGGGCGUCGACCGGCGCACGGGUGAGUAACGCGUAUCCAACCUGCCCACCACUUGGGGAUAACCUUGCGAAAGUAAGACUAAUACCCAAUGAUAUCCCACGAAGACAUCUGAAUGGGAUUAAAGAUUUAUCGGUGAUGGAUGGGGAUGCGUCUGAUUAGCUUGUUGGCGGGGUAACGGCCCACCAAGGCAACGAUCAGUAGGGGUUCUGAGAGGAAGGUCCCCCACAUUGGAACUGAGACACGGUCCAAACUCCUACGGGAGGCAGCAGUGAGGAAUAUUGGUCAAUGGGCGAGAGCCUGAACCAGCCAAGUAGCGUGCAGGAUGACGGCCCUAUGGGUUGUAAACUGCUUUUAUAAGGGAAUAAAGUGAGUCUCGUGAGACUUUUUGCAUGUACCUUAUGAAUAAGGACCGGCUAAUUCCGUGCCAGCAGCCGCGGUAAUACGGAAGGUCCGGGCGUUAUCCGGAUUUAUUGGGUUUAAAGGGAGCGUAGGCCGGAGAUUAAGCGUGUUGUGAAAUGUAGACGCUCAACGUCUGCACUGCAGCGCGAACUGGUUUCCUUGAGUACGCACAAAGUGGGCGGAAUUCGUGGUGUAGCGGUGAAAUGCUUAGAUAUCACGAAGAACUCCGAUUGCGAAGGCAGCUCACUGGAGCGCAACUGACGCUGAAGCUCGAAAGUGCGGGUAUCGAACAGGAUUAGAUACCCUGGUAGUCCGCACGGUAAACGAUGGAUGCCCGCUGUUGGCCUGAAUAGGUCAGCGGCCAAGCGAAAGCAUUAAGCAUCCCACCUGGGGAGUACGCCGGCAACGGUGAAA